Molecule: ribosomal RNA, 497 nt
Filed under: uncultured bacterium
Lineage: Bacteria
Description: partial 16S ribosomal RNA
Rfam family: Bacterial small subunit ribosomal RNA
Source: RNAcentral
GAUGAACGCUGGCGGCGUGCCUAAUACAUGCAAGUCGAGCGAACAGACGAGGAGCUUGCUCCUCUGACGUUAGCGGCGGACGGGUGAGUCACACGUGGAUAACCUACCUAUAAGACUGGGAUAACUUCGGGAAACCGGAGCUAAUACCGGAUAAUAUAUUGAACCGCAUGGUUCAAUAGUGAAAGACGGUUUUGCUGUCUCUUCUAGCUGGAUCCGCGCCGCAUUAGCUAGUUGGUAAGGUCACGGCUUAUCAAGGCAACGAUGCGUAGCCGACCUGAGAGAGGGAUCGCCCACACGGGAACUGGGACACCGACCAGGCUCCUACGGGAGGCAGCAGUAGGGAAUCUUCCGCAAUGGGCGAAAGCCUGACGGAGCAGCGCCGAGUGAGUGAUGACGGUCUUCGGAUCGUAAAAAUCUGUUAUUAGGGAAAAACAAAUGUGUAAGUAAAUAUGCACGUCUUGACGGUACCUAAUCAGAAAGCCACGGCUAACUACGUG